This 74-nucleotide transfer RNA is filed under the name Nanoarchaeum equitans Kin4-M. Its description in RNAcentral is "tRNA-Arg (GCG) (tRNA-Arg-GCG-1-1)". It matches the Rfam family "tRNA". Rfam says of the family: Transfer RNA (tRNA) molecules are approximately 80 nucleotides in length. Their secondary structure includes four short double-helical elements and three loops (D, anti-codon, and T loops). The record is from Rfam by way of RNAcentral. Lineage: Archaea; Nanobdellati; Nanobdellota; Candidatus Nanoarchaeia; Nanoarchaeales; Nanoarchaeaceae.
GGGCCCGUAGCUUAGCUAGGUAAAGCGCCGGGUUGCGGACCCGGAGAUCGCGGGUUCGAAUCCCGCCGGGCCCG